GAAUAUGAAGGCUUGAGAAGCCAUGGAAGAAGCUUCCAACUUUCAGCUAAUGCAUGGUAGGCAUUUCUAGUCCCGUUUUUAAUUAUUUUUAUAUUUUUGAGAUCGUUGUUGCUUAAUCUAUCUAAUGAGGGGACUAUUUUGCAAAACCAUUGAAUAGUUUGAUAUUUUCCAUUGAUGAGUAUAAUAGGGCUUUGAAGUUUAAUGGAAGAAUAUGAGUCCUUGUUGAUAGUUAAACACUUUUUGUUAAGUGAAUUUUUGUGAAAUUGACAAUUAAGGGCUAAAUUGAUAAAUGUAAAAAAUUUGUGGUUAAAAUGUCAAAUAAAUGAAAUGUGUGGGCUGCUAGAGACACUAGUGAUAUUCUUCUAUAGUAGAAUUUUACUCAAUUUCAUGAAUUUGCAUUUUUAUGAUAUAGGGACUAAAUUGUAAAGAAGUUGAAAUAUUAGGGGCAAAACUAUAAUUUUUCCAUAAAGUGAAUUAUGGACUGUUUUGAUACCAUGAACAUUCGGCUAAGCUUAAUUAUGGUUAAAAAUGGUUAAUUUGCACGUUUUGAGCUCAGGGACUAAAAUGAAUAAAAGUAAAACUUUAGGGGUAAUUUUGUAAAAAUGAUAAAAAUGACCAAAUUGUAUGAAAUGAGGUGUUUUAAUGUCUAAAUUAAUAUACUGAAUGAAAUUAUUAAUUUAGAUCAAGAUCGGGUGAAAAAUCGAGAAAAAUGAGAAAAUUACCAAAAUACCCCUGAACUUUGGUAUCUCUACAAUUUAGCCAGGUAAGUUCGUAUGCAAUAAGCAUUGUUAAAUUGAUGUUUCUAAUGCUUUAAUAUUGUAUAAAUUGUAUAUACGUGAAUAUUUUAAUGUCUGACGACAUAUCGACAAAAUGUGGCACUUAGUGUGCGAGGCAAUCAAAUAUGGUACUCAGUGUACGAAAUAUUGAGAAUGACACUUAGUGUGCAAGAUAUUGAGAAUGACACUUAGUGUGCAAAAUAUCGAAUGAUUCAAAGGGAAAUUAUAAAUUGUGAUUGAAUGAUUAAAUAGAGCAAAGUGAACAUGUAUACAUGCUAUAUUAUAUGAAUUGUUUAUAAGACGACUUUAUAAUGGUGAUAUUUGGGCUUUGAGCCUAGCAAGCUUUAAGCUGGUGAAUAAUAUUAUUGGGUUUAAAACCUAGCAGGCUAAAUGUCAGUGAUUUGAUAAAAGUCUAAGACUAUGAGACCUUGUGUUAAAUCGGCAAUUGAAUUUGUUCAAUGCAUUAAGUUGGCCAGGUAUGUGAUAUAUUCUUAUGCAUGUUAGAUCGAUUAGAAUUGAAUCAUGAGUGUGAAAUGAGAAGCAUAGGUGAAAAUGCCUAUGUCAUAUAUGUGAGUAAGGGCAAAACCAUCGUAAAUUAUCGAUAAGGAUGGACUAUGUGCGGAAUCAUCUUAUAAUUGCUAAUUUGAACGGUUGUGUGCGAAUUAUUGAGCAUGAUGUAUUGUAUUGAGAUUAUGCUUGAGUGAAAUUAUAGAUAUGUGAUGAAAUUGAUUGGUGAUAUACAUGUUUAAAUAAUGUGAAUGCAAAAAAUGUGUGAAAAAGUAAAUUUGUAAUAAAUCUGCUUGGGACAGCAGCAGUAACGUGAUUUUGGAAAAUCACCAUAAAUUGUUGGAGUUGAGUUAGAAGCUGAAUAAAUUAUAUAAUUAAAGCUUAAUGAGUCUAAUUUCUUAUAAAAGAAACCGUGUAAGCAAAAGAAUUGCUGUUAAUGAGAUAUUUGAAGUGGCGUGGGAUAGAGUCAAAUGACUUCGGGGUCCCCUGUUCUGUUUUUAGAAAAUCAUUAUAAUUUGUAAAAAAAUGGUUAUAAGAUAAAAUUUAUAUCCUUAGACUCAUUAAUGAGUCUAGUUUCAAAUGAAAUCAAAUAUAACCUAUUUUGAAUUCUGUACAAUGAGAAAUUUGAUUCGUAGUGAAGAGUGGUCAGAUUAGUCAAACAGUGAAACAGGGGAAACUUUAAGAAAAAUCUGGUAUUGAUUGGCCAAAUCUAAAAUUCUGAAAAUUUUAUGGAUGGAAGAUAUAUGAGUCUAUUUUCAGGGAAAAUUAACGGCAAUUGAUUUGGAGUUUUGUAGCUCUAGUUAUAAAUAAUUUAGUGACUAUUGCUCAGGAAGACAACUUGUAGUGAAUUUGUGAUUAUGUUGUAAACAUUGAUAAAACUUGUUAAUGAGUUGCUUAUUGUUUUCUUAUGAACUUACUAAGCGUAAAGCUUACUCCCCUUUUCUUUCCCAUAUUCCCUAGGGUUUCCAGGUUAGCUCGGGUUGGAGGCCGUCAGAGAUAUUAUCACAUUGUCAAGUCUACGCUAUCGGUGUAAGUAAAUCUUAGUGUUUCGAGUCUAUGGCAUGUAUAGGGUUGUAAAGUUGAGUAAGUAAAUGAUACAAGACUAAGAUAUUGGUAAAUAUUUAAUAAUGCAUAAUGAAUAUUUUGGGCCUUGUAAGCCCGAUUAAAGGAUAAUAUACGUGUGUAUGAAAAGUUUAAAUUGAUCAAAAAUUUUUACGGUCUGAUUUUAU
Molecule: long non-coding RNA, 2512 nt
Filed under: Gossypium barbadense (sea-island cotton)
Lineage: Eukaryota; Viridiplantae; Streptophyta; Magnoliopsida; Malvales; Malvaceae
Description: long non-coding RNA (GBAR_LNC008362)
Source: RNAcentral